CUUUACGGAGAGAGAUAAAACAGUGACUUUACGGAGAGAGAUAAAACAGUGACUUUACGGAGAGAGAUAAAACAGUGACUUUAUGGAGAGAGAAAACAGUGACUUUACGGAGAGAGAUAAAACAGUCACAAUCACAUUUCAGAUAAGCACAUUCACAUGCAGCUUUUCAGAGACAUUCCUGGUUGCUCAGUCUUUCUGUAUCAGUGGGGAACCGUCAGGGCCUUCUAGGCCUUCCCUAAGGAUUUAUAAAAAUGUAUGUUUUAUAAAAAAAAAAAAUGUUGUUUUAAUUUCUAUUUAAUCUUUACAAUCAUCUUAAUAAUCAUCUUCUGAUUUAAUCUGAAGAAAUCUUUAGAUUGUCUUUAGCUAGCUUGUGUUGUAGUCGUGUGACGAUGUUAGCUAGCUUGUGUUGUAGUCGUGUGACGAUGUUAGCUAGCCUGUGUUGUAGUAGUGUGACGAUGUUAGCUAGCUUGUGUUGUAGUAGUGUGACGAUGUUAGCUAGCUUGUGUUGUAGUCGUGUCACAAUGUUAGCUAGCUUGUGUUGUAGUCGUGUGACGAUGUUAGCUAGCUUGUGUUGUAGUCGUGUCACAAUGUUAGCUAGCUUGUGUUGUAGUCGUGUCACAAUGUUAGCUAGCUUGUGUUGUAGUCGUGUGACAAUGUUAGCUAGCUUGUGUUGUAGUUGUGUGACGAUGUUAGCUAGCUUGUGUUGUAGUAGUGUGACGAUGUUAGCUAGCUUGUGUUGUAGUCGUGUCACAAUGUUAGCUAGCUUGUGUUGUAGUCGUGUGACAAUGUUAGCUAGCUUGUGUUGUAGUUGUGUGACGAUGUUAGCUAGCUUGUGUUGUAGUAGUGUGACGAUGUUAGCUAGCUUGUGUUGUAGUAGUGUGACGAUGUUAGCUAGCCUGUGUUGUAGUAGUGUGGCGAUGUUAGCUAGCUUGUGUUGUAGUCGUGUGACGAUGUUAGCUAGCCUGUGUUGUGCUAGUGAGAUAAUGGAGACGGCAGCAGCAACUGUUAUCAACUUCAAAGUGGCGUUAAGCUACCAUAGGUUGUGUAAACAGUGUGUUUCUUGUUUUGUUGGUUGCGUUAUUUUAUGCUGUGUGUCAUAUUGUGUCCAUGCCGGCUUACAGCAGUGGAGGCUCCUCAGAGGAGGAAGGAGAGGACCAUCCUCCUCAGUGAAUUUAAAUAAAAAAUAACAAUUUGUGAAACAAUAAAAAAAGUGAUCCUUUUUAGAUAAAACUAAACUAAAUAUGUUAACAUGUCACCAAAUAAUUGAUUUAAACAACAAAGGUCUACAGUAGCCUC
Molecule: long non-coding RNA, 1296 nt
Filed under: Salmo salar (Atlantic salmon)
Lineage: Eukaryota; Metazoa; Chordata; Actinopteri; Salmoniformes; Salmonidae
Description: lncRNA (ENSSSAG00000107132.1, ENSSSAG00075023107.1)
Source: RNAcentral